RNAcentral lists this ribosomal RNA (499 nucleotides) under uncultured bacterium. RNAcentral's name for it is "bacterial SSU rRNA". It matches the Rfam family "Bacterial small subunit ribosomal RNA", at positions 29 to 526 of the family's 1533-position model. The record is from RNAcentral.
AGUGAACGCUGGCGGCGUGCCUAAUACAUGCAAGUCGAACGUGAAAGCCUUCGGGUGAGUAAAGUGGCGCACGGGUGAGUAAUAGUUGAGAACAUGCCCUGAGGUGGGGAAUAACAGUUGGAAACGACUGCUAAUACCGCAUGGUUUCGAAAGAAUAAAGGUGGGGAUCGUAAGACCUACCGCCACAGGAUUGGCUCAACUCCCAUUAGCUAGUUGGCAGGGUAAUGGCCUACCAAGGCAACGAUGGGUAACUGGUCUGAGAGGAUGAUCAGUCACACUGGAACUGAGACACGGUCCAGACUCCUACGGGAGGCAGCAGUAGGGAAUAUUGCACAAUGGAGGAAACUCUGAUGCAGCAACGCCGCGUGAGUGAAGAAGGCCCUUGGGUUGUAAAGCUCUUUAGCCUGGAAAGAAGUGUCCGGACGUAAACAAUGACCGGAUGUGACGGUACCAGGAGAAUAAGCACCGGCUAAUUUCGUGCCAGCCGCCGCUGUAACAC